Molecule: long non-coding RNA, 1784 nt
Organism: Leptopilina boulardi
Lineage: Eukaryota; Metazoa; Arthropoda; Insecta; Hymenoptera; Figitidae
Exons: 14
Source: RefSeq, a predicted model, not a curated record
GUUUAGAAAAUUUACCUGUCGAUUUAAACUGUAUUUAUUUACGAAAAUAGUAAUUCUUUUCAAGAAUAGUUAUUUCAGUUAAUGUAAAUUUAUGAAAUAAGAAGAAAAAUAUUCAGGAAUUAUUGAUAAUAGAAAAAGUGUGCAGUGUUCUUUUAUAUAAAAAAUCAAAGGAGAAAAACAAAAAGUCGUACAUUUAAAUCAAGGAUGCCGGUGACACGAAAUUUGAGGUUAUGUGCGCCAAGGUGAGCAAAAUUGCAAUGUUCAACGGAUAAAAAUAAGAUGUGUUGGCGAUUUUUGAAUGGACUUUAUAAAAAAUUUGCCGAGAGUUUCUAUGCACAAAAGGAAUUUAAAAUUUUAAGGUUCGUUGAUGAUAUAACAAGAACGAACAUGAGAAAAUGACCAUGAGGGAAUUCAUUCAAAUCAAAUAUCUAUAGGCGUUCGAUUCUUGAGGGAAAGAUGAGGUGUUUGUUGCGGAGCAGCUCCUGGAGGAGAUCUGGUAUUGCUGAGUCGCGGUUCAAUGCAAUUGGUACAGAGGGAAAAUUCAUCUGUUUGAAGAAAUGAUAUGUAUGCUGUCAUCGUAUUUUUUGAUAAGAAGAAAAAGAAGUUUUACUAUACAAAUAACAACAUGAAGGACAGGAAGGAUGUGGACGAAGAAAAACGGUCCCAGCAUGUUGUCAAAUUUUCCAAAAAUAGUCUUUUAUUUUAUUUUUUUUUUUUUGCUUGGCAACAUCGCUCUCGAUCUGCGCAGAAGUGCAAUCAAGAAGCAGAGAUCUUCGAGAGUGACCACAAGAGGAAGGAGGAACAAAUGCAAACCUUGUUCCAACGUGGGAUAUUCGCCGACCGAUGAGUCGUUUUUUAUUAUUGAAUUAUUAUUUACUAUUAUAAUUAUUGGACUCUCAUUAACACACUCACAUAUCCACUGCGUUAGGGUUAUAAAAAAUUGGGUUUUCUAAAAUAUGCGGUUAGGUAUAGGAAUUACUUUUUUUUUUGUAGGAGUUUAACAUUUUUCCGUUUUAAAUAUAGUUAUAGGUAGGAAAAUCGUGAAUUUGUUAUUCCUAUGUGAGUGUCGCAUAAAGUAGAGUACCAAUGAUUUUAUUGUUUCUCAAUAUGUGGUAUUAAAUAUUGCUUGUUUAAUUGAUUAUUCUUUUCAGUUGAAUCAUCGGGGUGAGAAAUAAUAUUUUUUUUAUUAUCUUUUCAAUUUAUAAUAUAAUCAUGUUUUGUAUUUUUAAACAAAAUAGAAAUAUCCAAUUACCGUCAUCAUCAUCAUCAUCAUCAUCAUCUUACAAUUUCAUUCAUCCUUGAAUGAAGAUGUCUGCUCCUGGAUGUUUCGAGUUUUAUCACCGCUUUGUGCCUCUUUUUCGAAAUGUGAAUUUGCAUUCUUCCUAUAUAUAUAUAUAAGUUCCACAAAAGAAGAGAAAAAGUAUAUUAUGCAAAGGAGCAAUCAUUCAACAAAGUGAUACUGAUGUUGCCUGAUGCUUCAAUGUGAUUGGCACUGUUUGACCAGCGAGACUAUUGUAUCUGUAUUAUUGUUCUGCAUGGAAAGGUUUCCUUUUUCUUCGUUACUGAACUUGGAUUUAGUGUUGAGCAUUUAAAGGAGAUUACGCGAAAGAUCGUCGAAAUUUGCAAAGCUCCCGGAAGUUAGACCUGGAUCAUAGAAUAAUGCCCAUCUACAGAGAUGAAUUUUACGACGACGAAUUUAAAAAAGCAACAACAAUACUGUUCAAUUGCUGCGUUUAUUUUGGUAAGUUGAAAAACUUUUUAUAAAUAUAUACGGAAAGUGUGAC